ACUUAAAUUGAAGAGUUUGAUCAUGGCUCAGAUUGAACGCUGGCGGCAGGCCUAACACAUGCAAGUCGAGCGGUAGCACAGAGAGCUUGCUCUCGGGUGACGAGCGGCGGACGGGUGAGUAAUGUCUGGGAAACUGCCUGAUGGAGGGGGAUAACUACUGGAAACGGUAGCUAAUACCGCAUAACGUCGCAAGACCAAAGUGGGGGACCUUCGGGCCUCAUGCCAUCAGAUGUGCCCAGAUGGGAUUAGCUAGUAGGUGGG
RNAcentral lists this ribosomal RNA (261 nucleotides) under Klebsiella pneumoniae. RNAcentral's name for it is "partial 16S ribosomal RNA". It matches the Rfam family "Bacterial small subunit ribosomal RNA", at positions 1 to 256 of the family's 1533-position model. The record is from RNAcentral. Lineage: Bacteria; Pseudomonadati; Pseudomonadota; Gammaproteobacteria; Enterobacterales; Enterobacteriaceae.